Molecule: ribosomal RNA, 501 nt
Filed under: uncultured bacterium
Lineage: Bacteria
Description: bacterial SSU rRNA
Rfam family: Bacterial small subunit ribosomal RNA
Source: RNAcentral
AGAGUUUGAUCAUGGCUCAGAUUGAACGCUGGCGGAAUGCUUUACACAUGCAAGUCGAACGGCAGCACGGGGCAACCUGGUGGCGAGUGGCGAACGGGUGAGUAAUACAUCGGAACGUGCCCAAUCGUGGGGGAUAACGUAGCGAAAGUUACGCUAAUACCGCAUACGAUCUACGGAUGAAAGCGGGGGAUCGCAAGACCUCGCGCGAAUGGAGCGGCCGAUGUCAGAUUAGGUAGUUGGUGGGUAAAGGCUCACCAAGCCAACGAUCUGUAGCUGGUCUGAGAGGACGACCAGCCACACUGGAACUGAGACACGGUCCAGACUCCUACGGGAGGCAGCAGUGGGGAAUUUUGGACAAUGGGCGCAAGCCUGAUCCAGCCAUUCCGCGUGCAGGAUGAAGGCCUUCGGGUUGUAAACUGCUUUUGUACGGAACGAAAAGGUCCUGGUUAAUACCUGGGGCUCAUGACGGUACCGUAAGAAUAAGCACCGGCUAACUACGUG